UUCCGAAGCCCCUUUUUAUUUUGGUAAUGGUUCUGAGAUAACCAGAUCUAAGAAGUUGAAUAUAAAGCCACAGAGAACAAUACUGUCCACAAACGACUACCCAAGGUUUCAAUCAGCAAAAAUACUAAACAAUCACGACUGGAACAGUUGUUGCAUUUCUCCUCCGGGCAGCUUGGAAAGUCUGCCUGUAAAAUAUCAAAAAAGUCAAAGUCCUUGAUAAAAGUUGGCCCAUCUCCAGAGCUUGGAUUAGAACCAACCAGUUUGACUACUGAAGAGUUUGAAAUAGUGUCAGAGUUUGGAUAUAAAACAUCUUUUCCGGAGCAUUCCAACGGUUCUUUAAUGGAAAUUUUGACGGUACCUUGGAGUGUCUAGAUGAGCAAUACGACAAUAGCUCAGAUGAAGAGUCUGUUUUGCAUUCAUUAAUAUCCCCAGAAAAAAGUAAUGCAGACUCCGAAGA
This is a long non-coding RNA of Wyeomyia smithii (pitcher-plant mosquito), 457 nucleotides long. RefSeq lists it as uncharacterized. The transcript is spliced from 3 exons. The record is from RefSeq and is a predicted model, not a curated record. NCBI's taxonomy places the organism in Eukaryota, Metazoa, Arthropoda, Insecta, Diptera, Culicidae.